This 77-nucleotide transfer RNA is filed under the name Pseudomonadales bacterium. RNAcentral describes it as "tRNA-Val". It matches the Rfam family "tRNA". From Rfam's summary of the family: Transfer RNA (tRNA) molecules are approximately 80 nucleotides in length. Lineage: Bacteria; Pseudomonadati; Pseudomonadota; Gammaproteobacteria; Pseudomonadales. The record is from RNAcentral.
AGGCGCGUAGCUCAGUUGGUUAGAGCGCUUGGUCGACAUCCAAGAGGUCGUCGGUUCGAAUCCGACCGUGCCUACCA